UAGGGAAUCUUCGGCAAUGGGGGCAACCCUGACCGAGCAACGCCGCGUGAGUGAAGAAGGUUUUCGGAUCGUAAAGCUCUGUUGUAAGUCAAGAACGAGUGUGAGAGUGGAAAGUUCACACUGUGACGGUAGCUUACCAGAAAGGGACGGCUAACUACGUGCCAGCAGCCGCGGUAAUACGUAGGUCCCGAGCGUUGUCCGGAUUUAUUGGGCGUAAAGCGAGCGCAGGCGGUUUGAUAAGCCUGAAGUUAAAGGCUGUGGCUCAACCAUAGUUCGCUUUGGAAACUGUCAAACUUGAGUGCAGAAGGGGAGAGUGGAAUUCCAUGUGUAGCGGUGAAAUGCGUAGAUAUAUGGAGGAACACCGGUGGCGAAAGCGGCUCUCUGGUCUGUAACUGACGCUGAGGCUCGAAAGCGUGGGGAGCGAACAGGAUUAGAUACCCUGGUAGUCCACGCCGUAAACGAUGAGUGCUAGGUGUUGGAUCCUUUCCGGGAUUCAGUGCCGCAGCUAACGCAUUAAGCACUCCGCCUGGGGAGUACGACCGCAAGGUUG
Molecule: ribosomal RNA, 550 nt
Filed under: uncultured bacterium
Lineage: Bacteria
Description: bacterial SSU rRNA
Rfam family: Bacterial small subunit ribosomal RNA
Source: RNAcentral